AUUACAUAUCUUCCGAAAGGUUCUCUAAGUCAAACAGAGAUGAAAAGGGAAAUCGGUAAAAGCCGAUGCGGUCCCGCCACUGUACGUGCUCCAUGCACAAGCCAGGUACCUGCCUUUUAGGAAAUGAAGUU
This 131-nucleotide non-coding RNA is filed under the name Sporosarcina newyorkensis. Lineage: Bacteria; Bacillati; Bacillota; Bacilli; Caryophanales; Caryophanaceae. The record is from RNAcentral.